Molecule: unclassified non-coding RNA, 404 nt
Filed under: soil metagenome
Description: partial contains 5.8S ribosomal RNA, internal transcribed spacer 2, and large subunit ribosomal RNA
Rfam family: 5.8S ribosomal RNA (bases 1-120)
Source: RNAcentral
GAUGAAGAACGCAGCGAAAUGCGAUAAGUAAUGUGAAUUGCAGAAUUCAGUGAAUCAUCGAAUCUUUGAACGCACCUUGCGCUCCUUGGUAUUCCUUGGAGCAUGCCUGUUUGAGUAUCAUGAAAUCCUCAAAAUAUAUCUUUCGUUCAUUCGAUUGGUUUUAUUUUGGACUUGGAGGUCUGCAGAUUCACGUCUGCUCCUCUCAAAUGCAUUAGCUGGAUCUCAGUGAGCUCGGUUCCACUCGGCGUGAUAAGCAUCACUCGCUGAGGACACUGUAAAAAGUGGCCGGGAUUGCAGAUGAACCGCUUCUAAUCGUCUAUUAGCUUAGACAAUUAAAUCUUAUGAUCUGAUCUCAAAUCAGGUAGGACUACCCGCUGAACUUAAGCAUAUCAAUAAGCGGAGGA